UAGAGUUUGAUCCUGGCUCAGGAUGAACGCUAGCGGCAGGCUUAACACAUGCAAGUCGAGGGGCAUCGGGAGGAAAGCUUGCUUUCCUUGCCGGCGACCGGCGCACGGGUGAGUAACACGUAUGCAACCUGCCCUCUUCAGGGGGACAACCUUCCGAAAGGGAGGCUAAUCCCGCGUAUAUCGGUUUCGGGCAUCCGAGAUCGAGGAAAGAUUCAUCGGAAGAGGAUGGGCAUGCGGCGCAUUAGCUUGACGGCGGGGUAACGGCCCACCGUGGCGACGAUGCGUAGGGGUUCUGAGAGGAAGGUCCCCCACACUGGUACUGAGACACGGACCAGACUCCUACGGGAGGCAGCAGUGAGGAAUAUUGGUCAAUGGGAGAGAUCCUGAACCAGCCAAGCCGCGUGAGGGAAGACGGCCCUAUGGGUUGUAAACCUCUUUUGUCGGAGAACAAAACCCGGGACGUGUCCCGGACUGCGUGUAUCCGAAGAAAAAGCAUCGGCUAACUCCGUGCCAGCAGCCGCGGUAAUACGGAGGAUGCGAGCGUUAUCCGGAUUUAUUGGGUUUAAAGGGUGCGUAGGCGGUCCGUUAAGUCAGCGGUAAAAUUGCGGGGCUCAACCCCGUCGAGCCGUUGAAACUGGCAGACUUGAGUUGGCGAGAAGUACGCGGAAUGCGCGGUGUAGCGGUGAAAUGCAUAGAUAUCGCGCAGAACUCCGAUUGCGAAGGCAGCGUACCGGCGCCACACUGACGCUGAGGCACGAAAGCGUGGGGAUCGAACAGGAUUAGAUACCC
RNAcentral lists this ribosomal RNA (789 nucleotides) under uncultured bacterium. RNAcentral describes it as "bacterial SSU rRNA". It matches the Rfam family "Bacterial small subunit ribosomal RNA", at positions 1 to 787 of the family's 1533-position model. The record is from RNAcentral.